UACAGAGGGGGCAAGCGUUGUUCGGAAUUACUGGGCGUAAAGCGUGCGUAGGUGGUUCGUUAAGUCUGUUGUGAAAGCCCUGGGCUCAACCUGGGAAUGGCGAUGGAUACUGGCGAGCUAGAGUACGGUAGAGGAUGGUGGAAUUCCCGGUGUAGCGGUGAAAUGCGUAGAGAUCGGGAGGAACAUCAGUGGCGAAGGCGGCCAUCUGGACCAGUACUGACGCUGAGGCACGAAAGCGUGGGGAGCAAACAGG
RNAcentral lists this ribosomal RNA (253 nucleotides) under uncultured bacterium. RNAcentral describes it as "partial 16S ribosomal RNA". It matches the Rfam family "Bacterial small subunit ribosomal RNA", at positions 524 to 776 of the family's 1533-position model. The record is from RNAcentral.